GGGAAGUAAUGCAGCGGUGAUGGUACUGCGACCAGCCUUGAAAACUGGGUUCUGGUGAUGAGCCGGAUGGGGUUCGACUCCUCUGCUUCCCGCCA
Molecule: transfer RNA, 95 nt
Filed under: compost metagenome
Description: tRNA-Ser
Source: RNAcentral